This 541-nucleotide ribosomal RNA is filed under the name uncultured bacterium. RNAcentral describes it as "bacterial SSU rRNA". It matches the Rfam family "Bacterial small subunit ribosomal RNA", at positions 358 to 916 of the family's 1533-position model. The record is from RNAcentral.
GGAAUAUUGGACAAUGGGCGAAAGCCUGAUCCAGCAAUGCCGCGUGAGUGAUGAAGGCCUUAGGGUUGUAAAGCUCUUUUACCAGGGAUGAUAAUGACAGUACCUGGAGAAUAAGCUCCGGCUAACUCCGUGCCAGCAGCCGCGGUAAUACGGAGGGAGCUAGCGUUGUUCGGAAUUACUGGGCGUAAAGAGUACGUAGGCGGUUAUUCAAGUCAGAGGUGAAAGCCUGGAGCUCAACUCCAGAACUGCCUUUGAAACUAGAUAACUAGAAUCUUGGAGAGGUGAGUGGAAUUCCGAGUGUAGAGGUGAAAUUCGUAGAUAUUCGGAAGAACACCAGUGGCGAAGGCGACUCACUGGACAAGUAUUGACGCUGAGGUACGAAAGCGUGGGGAGCAAACAGGAUUAGAUACCCUGGUAGUCCACGCCGUAAACGAUGAUAACUAGCUGUUCGGGCUCUACGAGCUUGAGUGACGCAGCUAACGCAUUAAGUUAUCCGCCUGGGGAGUACGGUCGCAAGAUUAAAACUCAAAGGAAUUGACGG